This 441-nucleotide ribosomal RNA is filed under the name uncultured Campylobacter sp. Its description in RNAcentral is "bacterial SSU rRNA". It matches the Rfam family "Bacterial small subunit ribosomal RNA", at positions 338 to 795 of the family's 1533-position model. The record is from RNAcentral. Lineage: Bacteria; Pseudomonadati; Campylobacterota; Epsilonproteobacteria; Campylobacterales; Campylobacteraceae.
CCUACGGGAGGCAGCAGUAGGGAAUAUUGCUCAAUGGGGGAAACCCUGAAGCAGCAACGCCGCGUGGAGGAUGACACUUUUCGGAGCGUAAACUCCUUUUGUUAGGGAAGAACAAUGACGGUACCUAACGAAUAAGCACCGGCUAACUCCGUGCCAGCAGCCGCGGUAAUACGGAGGGUGCAAGCGUUACUCGGAAUCACUGGGCGUAAAGGACGCGUAGGCGGAUUAUCAAGUCUCUUGUGAAAUCCUAUGGCUUAACCAUAGAACUGCUUGGGAAACUGAUAAUCUAGAGUGAGGGAGAGGCAGAUGGAAUUGGUGGUGUAGGGGUAAAAUCCGUAGAGAUCACCAGGAAUACCCAUUGCGAAGGCGAUCUGCUGGAACUCAACUGACGCUAAUGCGUGAAAGCGUGGGGAGCAAACAGGAUUAGAUACCCCAGUAGUC